ACACGACUCUCGGAAAUGUAUAUCUAGGCUCUCGCAUCGAUGAAGAACGUAGCAAAAUGCGAUACUUGGUGUGAAUUGCAGAAUCCCGUGAAUCAUCGAGUUUUUGAACGCAAGUUGCGCCCGAAGCCAUCCGGCCGAGGGCACGUCUGCCUGGGCGUCACGCAUCUCGUCGCCACCCCCUCCUCCCCGUCCUC
Molecule: ribosomal RNA, 194 nt
Filed under: Rubia sylvatica
Lineage: Eukaryota; Viridiplantae; Streptophyta; Magnoliopsida; Gentianales; Rubiaceae
Description: 5.8S ribosomal RNA
Rfam family: 5.8S ribosomal RNA (bases 5-160)
About the family: 5.8S ribosomal RNA (5.8S rRNA) is a component of the large subunit of the eukaryotic ribosome. It is transcribed by RNA polymerase I as part of the 45S precursor that also contains 18S and 28S rRNA.
Source: RNAcentral